CGCAGGUGCAGAUCUUGGUGGUAG
RNAcentral lists this non-coding RNA (24 nucleotides) under Gallus gallus (chicken). Lineage: Eukaryota; Metazoa; Chordata; Aves; Galliformes; Phasianidae. RNAcentral also lists the same sequence under 2 other names. The record is from RNAcentral.